GAAAUAAAUAAAAUAUUAAGCUGCUAACUUAAUACAUAGUGUGUAAACUCAUUAUUAUUUCU
This 62-nucleotide transfer RNA is filed under the name Ernodes articularis. Its description in RNAcentral is "tRNA-Ser". Lineage: Eukaryota; Metazoa; Arthropoda; Insecta; Trichoptera; Beraeidae. The record is from RNAcentral.